RNAcentral lists this long non-coding RNA (1134 nucleotides) under Junco hyemalis (dark-eyed junco). RNAcentral describes it as "lncRNA (ENSJHYG00000012907.1)". Lineage: Eukaryota; Metazoa; Chordata; Aves; Passeriformes; Passerellidae. The record is from RNAcentral.
GACACACCAGGCACACCUGGAUGAGUGUGGCACCCGUCCCUGCCUGUGUCACCUGUGUCCCCAGGUGUCACACCUGGCCCUGGGUGUGUCACACCCAUCCUUGUCCCCCCAGCCCAGGUGUGUCACACCUUUGGUCCGGUGUGGCUGUCCCAGGUGUCACACCUGUCCCCAAGGGUGUCCCAGGUGUCUCUGAGUGUGUCACACCUGUCUGGCUGUGUCACACCUGCCCAGGAGUGUCACAGGUGUCUCUGACAAUGUCACCUGUGUCCCCAAGUGUCACACCUGUCCCUGACAGUGUCCCACCUGCCCCCGAGUGUGUCACAGGUAUCCCUGACAGUGUCACACCUGUCCCCAAGUGUGUCACAGGUGUCUCUGAGAGUGUCCCACCUGUCCCUGGGUGUGUCCCACCUUUCUGGCUGUGUCACACCUGUCCCUGUCCCCGCUGCCCAGGUGUGUCACCUGUCUGUUCCUGUCCCACCUGUCCCCAGGUGUGUCCCACCUGUGUCACACCCGUCCCUGUCCCCAGGUGUCCCCCCUGCUCACCUGAGCCUCUCUCUGUGCUGCCGUUUGUGGGGGAGGGGACACAGCCGGGGGCGUGGCCUUGGGGGCGUGGCCUUGGAUCCACCCGGAGUGGGCGUGGCCAAAGGGGUGGGACGGCUCUGGGUGUGUCCCAUUGGUGGGCGUGGCCCUGACCCCACCCAAGAGGUGACCCAGGUGUGACCCUGAGGGUGACCCAGGUGUGGGCGUGGUUAACGGGGCGUGGCCCAGGUGUGGGCGUGGCCGGUGGGCGUGGCCCGGCACACCGGCAGGUUCGUUAAUAGUCAGCAGCAGUGUAAUUAAAAUUUUGUUAAUGAAUGCCUCGUUAAUGACUCUCCAUUGAUGAGACCCUGUUAAUUUAACCCCUAAUUAACCCCCUGUUAAUGAACCCCCACAAUGAGCCCCGUUAAUGAGCUCCCCAGUAAUUAACCCCAUAAUGAACCCUUGUUAAUGAGCCACCAGUAAUUAACCCAAUAAGGAGCCCCCGUUAAUGAGACCCCAUUAAUUAACUUGAUAAGGAACCCCCAUUAAUGAGCUCCCCAGUAAUUAACCCCAUAAUGAACCCUGUGUAAAUAAACCUCCAUUAAUGAACCCCCA